AGUGCAGGCGGUUUUUUAAGUCUGAUGUGAAAGCCUUCGGCUUAACCGAAGAAAUGCAUUGGAAACUGGGAAACUUGAGUGCAGAAGAGGAGAGUGGAACUCCAUGUGUAGCGGUGAAAUGCGUAGAUAUAUGGAAGAACACCAGUGGCGAAGGCGGCUCUCUAGUCUGUAACUGACGCUGAGGCUGAAAGCGUGGGUAGCAAACA
This 206-nucleotide ribosomal RNA is filed under the name uncultured bacterium. RNAcentral's name for it is "partial 16S ribosomal RNA". It matches the Rfam family "Bacterial small subunit ribosomal RNA", at positions 568 to 774 of the family's 1533-position model. The record is from RNAcentral.